UUACUCUACUCUCUUCAUAAAUCUUUCGCCUUUUAUAAAGAUUUCCGUGGAAGGGUCAAUUAAUGAGUCUAAACCUAAUUUUGGAAUGCCUGGCGUAAGCCGGGCA
Molecule: small nuclear RNA, 106 nt
Filed under: Bemisia tabaci
Lineage: Eukaryota; Metazoa; Arthropoda; Insecta; Hemiptera; Aleyrodidae
Description: U5 spliceosomal RNA
Rfam family: U5 spliceosomal RNA
About the family: U5 RNA is a component of both types of known spliceosome. The precise function of this molecule is unknown, though it is known that the 5' loop is required for splice site selection and p220 binding, and that both the 3' stem-loop and the Sm site are important for Sm protein binding and cap methylation.
Source: RNAcentral